RNAcentral lists this long non-coding RNA (2177 nucleotides) under Heterocephalus glaber (naked mole-rat). RNAcentral describes it as "lncRNA (ENSHGLG00100035655.1)". The record is from RNAcentral. Lineage: Eukaryota; Metazoa; Chordata; Mammalia; Rodentia; Bathyergidae.
CGUGCCCUCCCGGGCCGCGCACGCGCGCUGGGCCCCGCGGACCGCGCGUCCCGGAGCGGCGACGCCAGCCUCUCACCGCGGCCCCACACCCUUAUCCGCCAGCUGCUCUGAAGCAGUGGCCUGGACGCCGCUGCUCUGGGCGCGGGGAAUGGUAAAGCUGGCGGUUUCGUCCCUAGAAAGGAACCCGGAGCUGGGGAGGGCUCCGACUUCAGCGCGAGCCCUGUGACCCGGGGUGGCUGGGCUCCUCGGGCCGCAGUUUCCCUGUGGUGGAGAUCCCAGUAUCCCCGUCGGAAGGCUGCGCGCAGCAGCGGAGGCAGUGGGUGCACGCCCUGUGCACACCGUGCCUGGGCUAUCACUGUGGCGUCGGUGUGCACACGACACAGGCGCAGGUACUGCCUAAAAGUUGUUCAGGCCACUUCUGGAGGCGCGACCAGGACCGGCCCGGAGGGUGCCGUGGCACACAUCUGUAAUCCUAUCACUCAGGAGGCAGAUGCAGGAGGAUCACAAGUUUGAGACCAGACUUCGUCUGCAUAGCAAGUCGAAUGCCUGCCUGCCUGGACCACAUAAGUACAGCACUGUCUGCAGCCCCUGCGAAGGAGAAGCUGUCUGGUGCCAUUAGCGUCCCUGAAGAGCAGUGUUUUGCAUGUCUGCUCUACAUCACCGCCGUUCCUCCAAGACCCGACCCAGUGACUGAGGAUGCUGGCCUCACCGUGCCUUCCACCAUGGCCAUGCUGUGUGUGGACAAUCUGGGCUCCUCUUUCUCGGUCUCCCCCGGGGUCACUCGUGUGACUGUGGUACCCAGCUCUGGAGGGUCCGAGGUGGUGUCCUCACGUGUUCCACAGUCAGUGCUGGCUCUCUCUCUCUUCUGUGUCUUUCUUACAAAAGAAAAAGGAAUCAUAUGGUUUAUGGAAGAAAAUUUAGAAAUGCUGUCAAAACAAGGGAAAGAAAAUAGCACUCACCUAUAAUGCCAGCACCUCAGAAUAACCAUUGUUGGUAUUUAGACAUAUAUAUCUAUCCAGCCUUACUCUAAAAUAUUGGUAACAAUGUGUAGUCUACAAAAAUGCAUAUUAUUGAUUACUUCUUUUUUUUUUUUUUUUUUUUUUUGCAGAACCAGGGAUCAAACUCAGGACCUUGUGCUUGCCAGGCAGGCAUGGCACCACUGAGCUACAUCCCUGGCCCUACUUUUUUGUUUUGUGACACAGGGUCUUGCUAUGUAGUUCAGGCUAGCCUUGAACUUGCAGUACUAUGUAGUCUAGGGUGGCCUCGAACUCAUGGUGAUCCCUGCCUCAGCCUCCCAAGAGCUGGGAUUACAGGUGUGUGCCACUAUGCCAGGCAUUGAUUAUUUUCUUGAUAGGCACUGUGCUGUAUCCUCUGCAUAGAUUAUUUCAUUUAAUACUCACUGCACUCCUACAGAACAGAUACUAUUACUAUUACUAUUACUAUUACUAUUACUGUCUUUAGGGAAGGAAAAAUUGAUGCUUAGCGACCUUAUACAUACAUAUAUACUGUCUUGUAACUCCUUUUUUCAUAUAACAUCAUGCAUAAUUCCUCACUUGAUUGCUUUUGAACAGGCUGGAUCAAAAUAAAAAAGUAACAAAGACUUUACAUAAAAAUAAUGUGGGUUUUUUUACAAGGGAGUAAUACUCAGCCACAAAGAAACACAAACUUGAGACAUUUCUAGGUUAAUGGAUGCACCUUGAGACCAUAGUCUUAAGUGAAAUAAAUCAGACACACAUGUAAAUAUCACAUUGUCUCUCUGGUGUGAGAAGCUGAAAGGGUAAAUAAGGACCAAAAUGUAUAGUAGAUAAUGGGAAAUUGUUCAAAAGGAAAGGGAAACUGAAAGUUGGAAGGGGGAAAAGGAAGGGAAAAGAAAAAAAAUGGAAACAAAGCUUUUGUAAAUGAGGAGGGGAGGGGAUUGGGAGAAAAAGAGGAAUCAAGGUAUACCAUAAACAGGUACAAAUUCCCCUUAAUGAAUGUGAUCGUUAUGUAUAUUCAAAUUGUGCCAAUAAAAUCAAUUUUAAAAAACAAUGACUUUACAAUAUUUGGAUCUCUGAUUUCUGGCCAAAUUUGCUUCUUGAGCCUGUCAGGUGAUUGCAGAUUAGAACAAAAUAAUGAUGCAUGCCCUUCACUGCAAAGUACUAGCUUUGACAUUUCAAUCUUUUGUAAGAGCUUCAAGG